This is a long non-coding RNA of Adelges cooleyi (spruce gall adelgid), 135 nucleotides long. RefSeq lists it as uncharacterized. NCBI's taxonomy places the organism in Eukaryota, Metazoa, Arthropoda, Insecta, Hemiptera, Adelgidae. The record is from RefSeq and is a predicted model, not a curated record. The transcript has 4 exons.
AUGGAUUGGAGCAUGUACUUACAGUCAUGAUAGAUAAAGAUUACUAUGGAACGCAAUAUUUAAAUCAAAUGUUCAUUGUACCGGAACAUGCAGAUACUAAAACCUAUGACUCUCUAGAACAUUCCAUAAUGACAG